Molecule: long non-coding RNA, 1202 nt
Filed under: Equus caballus (horse)
Lineage: Eukaryota; Metazoa; Chordata; Mammalia; Perissodactyla; Equidae
Description: lncRNA (ENSECAG00000038962.2)
Source: RNAcentral
CAAAGAUGCAUGCAGAUGAGAGAAAGACUGGUAAGAUAUGGCAUUUUCACAGACUUCAAAGACGUUCCUGUGUGGCAUAGUGCAGGAACAGGUCACACACUGUUAUGGCUGGUAUUCACUCAUUGUCCUCAUCACUGGCUGCUUUAGAAAAUUCUUAUUUAACAGCGUCAAUUUUUCUAAGAGAUAUUGACUAUUUAGAAGACGUAUUAAAUUAAGGUAUAUACAUGGAAGACAUAGGAUGACAAGAAAAGAGCCCUAAAUAUAAAGUUAGAGGGCCUAGAUUAGCCCUGAGCUAACAUCUGCCACCAAUCCUCCACUUUUUGCUGAGGAAGACUGGUCCUGAGCUAACAUCUGUGCCCAUCUUCCUCUACUUUAUAUGUGGGACACCUACCACAGCAUGGCUUGCCAAGCGAUGUGUAGGUCUGCACCGGGGAUCCUGACUGGCGAACCCUGGGUCACUGGAGCAGAUUGUGUGAACUUAACUGCUGCCCCACCGGGGUGGCCUCCUUAUAUGUUAUUUAAUAUAGAAUCAUCAAUAAAAAUUAUAGAGAUACCAGAAAAUGUAUAUAGAUAAUGACAAAGUGUAUAUUCUUAAGUUUAAUGAUUUUUUAUUUAAAUUUAAAAACACACAUCCAAUAUUACUGAUUUUACUGUAGUUCUAUAUAGCCACUUUUGGGAUAGAUUAUUGAAUAAAGAUAAUCUCUCUUUGAUGAGCAAAUAUUUACCAUUAUACAGUAAACCAUUCUUAAAUAUGUUUUUGUAUUGCAACUUCCUGUUAAAAUUGGGGAAGUCAAAAUUUGCGUGUCUGUGUGUGUUGUGGGUGUUUUAUAUGUGUCAGUGAAAUUAGGUUUAACUUGUAACUUAUGUGUGUGUUAAAUAAUUUGCCUAUUUGUUUCCUCCUCAUUUUGUGUUUUUAAUGGAUUUCAUUAGUUUUGGAAGAAAUAAUACAUUCUGAGUGAAUUCAGUGAUUUGGAAUCAAGAUUUAUUUACACAAAUCAUUUUAUUUCACAAAAAAACUGUUUCUAAAAGUGAUUGCUAAUUAUUCUCAGAGACAAAAAGAUGUGUCUCUUUAUUACCAGGAAUGGCUGGCCAUGUUUUGCUCUGAAUACAACACCUGGGGAAUAUCAUCUGAGGGUGACUUUGGUUACGGUGCUUUUUAAGACUGCUUUUAAUUGCUUUUGCAUCGAGCUGUAUUCAUGAAU